This 253-nucleotide ribosomal RNA is filed under the name uncultured bacterium. RNAcentral describes it as "partial 16S ribosomal RNA". It matches the Rfam family "Bacterial small subunit ribosomal RNA", at positions 524 to 776 of the family's 1533-position model. The record is from RNAcentral.
UACGUAGGGGGCUAGCGUUGUCCGGAUUUAUUGGGCGUAAAGAGCGUGUAGGUGGCCGGGUAAGUCCGGUGUGAAAACUCGAGGCUUAACCUCGAGAUGUCAUCGGAAACUAUUCGGCUAGAGUCCGGAAGAGGAGAGUGGAAUUCCUGGUGUAGCGGUGAAAUGCGCAGAUAUCAGGAAGAACACCUAUGGCGAAAGCAGCUCUCUGGGACGGUACUGACGCUGAGACGCGAAAGCGUGGGGAGCGAACAGG